RNAcentral lists this ribosomal RNA (825 nucleotides) under uncultured marine bacterium. RNAcentral describes it as "bacterial SSU rRNA". It matches the Rfam family "Bacterial small subunit ribosomal RNA", at positions 55 to 928 of the family's 1533-position model. The record is from RNAcentral.
AUGCAAGUCGAACGAAGUAGCAAUACUUAGUGGCAGACGGGUGAGUAACAUGUAGGUAUCUGCCCUUUGGCCUGGAAUAACACGAGGAAACUUGUGCUAAUACCGGAUAAGUCUUUACGGAGAAAGCUUUAUGCACCAUUGGAUGAGCCUGCACUUGAUUAGUUUGUUGGUGGGGUAAUGGCCUACCAAGACUUUGAUCAAUAGCUGAUUUGAGAGGAUGAUCAGCCACAUUGGGACUGAGACACGGCCCAAACUCCUACGGGAGGCAGCAGUGGGGAAUCUUGCACAAUGGAGGAAACUCUGAUGCAGCGAUGCCGCGUGAGUGGAGAAGGCCCUUGGGUUGUAAAGCUCUUUCGUCGGGGAAGAAAAUGACUGUACCCGAAUAAGAAGGUCCGGCUAACUUCGUGCCAGCAGCCGCGGUAAUACGAAGGGACCUAGCGUAGUUCGGAAUUACUGGGCUUAAAGAGUUCGUAGGUGGUUGAAAAAGUUGGUGGUGAAAUCCCAGAGCUUAACUCUGGAACUGCCAUCAAAACUUUUCAGCUAGAGUAUGAUAGAGGAAAGCAGAAUUUCUAGUGUAGAGGUGAAAUUCGUAGAUAUUAGAAAGAAUACCAAUUGCGAAGGCAGCUUUCUGGAUCAUUACUGACACUGAGGAACGAAAGCAUGGGUAGCGAAGAGGAUUAGAUAUCCUCGUAGUCCAUGCCGUAAACGAUGUGUGUUAGAUGUUGGAAAUUUAUUUUCAGUGUCGCAGCGAAAGCGAUAAACACACCGCCUGGGGAGUACGACCGCAAGGUUAAAACUCAAAUGAAUUGACGGGGACCCGCACAA